UACGUAGGGUGCAAGCGUUGUCCGGAAUUAUUGGGCGUAAAGAGCUCGUAGGCGGUCUGUAGCGUCUGCUGUGAAAACUCAGGGCUUAACCCUGAGCUUGCAGUGGGUACGGGCAGACUAGAGUGCGGUAGGGGAGACUGGAAUUCCUGGUGUAGCGGUGAAAUGCGCAGAUAUCGGGAGGAACACCCGUAGCGAAGGCGGCACUCUGGGCCGGUACUGACGCUGAGGAGCGAAAGCGUGGGGAGCAAACAGG
This 253-nucleotide ribosomal RNA is filed under the name uncultured bacterium. RNAcentral's name for it is "partial 16S ribosomal RNA". It matches the Rfam family "Bacterial small subunit ribosomal RNA", at positions 524 to 776 of the family's 1533-position model. The record is from RNAcentral.